This 415-nucleotide unclassified non-coding RNA is filed under the name Hevea brasiliensis (rubber tree). Lineage: Eukaryota; Viridiplantae; Streptophyta; Magnoliopsida; Malpighiales; Euphorbiaceae. The record is from RNAcentral.
AAUAAUUCAAUCCCCUGCAAAAAACUCCAGACAUAUUAAUGGUGUUUCAAGCUAGACUGGGUUUCAAGCAACUAAUAUAAGAUAAAACAUGUUCAGGUCCAUGAACUGAAGAAUGAUCUCCUUUUUCUUGCAGAUAGUGUUCUGAAAAUAUAUGAACUACCAUAUAAGAUCUUUCUUUUUCUUCAGCCAGAAGGAGACCCAAUGGUGGGCCAUAACAUGGUAUGGGGCCUAUGGGCUAUAUAACUUGAGGUAAACGUCCCCUUUCAUAACUCUCACCAAAAAGGUGAAAACUCUCACCAUAAUGCUAGUUGGGGGACUCAUGGGGGACUCAAAUCUAAGACUCAUCAACCUUUAAAGGAUACAAGCAGACAACCAAGCUAAAACCAGAUUGGCACCAUAUAAGAUCUUUCAGGUA